AAAGUACCCAGAUAGCAAACUGACUCCGCAACGGAUCCGCCCCAGAGGUAUCACAAGCUCCGGAACGGAUCCGCGAAACGGGUCCGGAACGGAGUCUACUUGCACAGCGCAGCGGAUCCGGAACAGAUAAGGAUUGUGGAUCCAGAUCAGAUCCGGGGCAGACUUGCCCCGUGUCCGCCGAUAAGGAGGAACUUCUUGGACUCCAUCUGGUUGAAUGCCUUUUUCCCAUUCACGCCCUUCCAGUUGAUCCUCCUCCCAACGUCAUCAUGGAACAUGCGGGAAAGGAUAUUCCAUGUGACACGUUUUGUGUCAUGGCCCCCAACAGUUGCAAGGGAAGAAAUCUAAAAUAAUAAUAAUUUUUUCAUCGCUGGAGCUCCUUGUCAGCAGACAGACAAGGGACACGGAGGUAAGUGGUACAAAUAACAGCAGGUUUAUUAAACAACGAUUGAGACAACACUGGCGAGAGGAGAGUCCAGGUAAGCGGGCGGGGAGCGGGAAAGUCUUGUGUGGCUUAUCUGAGUCUGAUAGUGUCUUUGUGUUUCCCAGAGGGUCCGGAGGGAGCUGAGGAGCGUGUAGACAGUGGAGAACAUCAGCUGGGGAGAACUAGGACGUAUCACAGGAACAACAGGUAAGUGGGUCAGGUGAAACAACAUUGUAAGGUUGAGACCAGACAGUGAGUGAACAGAAGGAGUGCAGGUAUAUAGUGCAGGCUGUAAAGUGUAAAGAUGCGCAUUGCCACCUUGUGUACCCGGGUAUUUCUAUUUUUCAAAAAGCCCCUCUACUGUCAGGGAGUGAAUUUGCAUGUUCAUUUGGCUCAUCGCUAGUGAAAUUUGCUUGGGUAUGAACACAAAGACGCGCUGAAAAACGUUAUGAAAAAUGCGAUAAGCUUGCGCAAUAACCGUACUGGUGUGCACGAGGCUUUAGGCUUUGUGCCAAAAUUAGGGUUUGCUCCCUACGUCACUACACCUUUAAAUCAGAACCAUAAGUAGGGGAACAUUUGCACUACACUACUGUGUAAUGCUAAGAGAGAGGUGAUAGCUAUCCAGGUUCAUUUAAGAGCAAACCUAAAACUACUCAAUGUACAGCACAAGUUAUUUAAUAGACAUAAUAUGACUUUAUGAUUGGCUGAAAGACCAUUAAACAUUUCUAAAAUGGCUGAUAAAGAUUUGUUUAUCACAUUAAAAAUAAUUAACACAGCAUGCGUUUUUCACUCCCUAAGAUUAGCAUGCACUGUAGCAUGCAUUCUAGCAUUAAUAAAUGCUAGAAUGUAAUGUAAAUUUUCAGUGUAAUGAGAUUGAAAAAAAAAAAAAAAAAAAAACA
This is a long non-coding RNA of Cyprinus carpio (common carp), 1320 nucleotides long. RefSeq lists it as uncharacterized. The transcript has 3 exons. Lineage: Eukaryota; Metazoa; Chordata; Actinopteri; Cypriniformes; Cyprinidae. The record is from RefSeq and is a predicted model, not a curated record.